AGUGUUUUAGGGAGCGUGUUGCAGCUUGUUGUCAUGGUGUUGGGCUUUUGGGGUCAACUGUGGCAGUUCGGGUUGCAACAAACAAAGCGUUCUUUAUUGCUCUGGUGCUCUUGCAUUGCUUUUGGUACUGUUGUUUCCCUGGUGCGUUAGGGCUUA
This 156-nucleotide ribosomal RNA is filed under the name Selaginella uncinata (blue spikemoss). Its description in RNAcentral is "5.8S ribosomal RNA". Lineage: Eukaryota; Viridiplantae; Streptophyta; Lycopodiopsida; Selaginellales; Selaginellaceae. The record is from RNAcentral.